Arabidopsis lyrata subsp. lyrata is the source of this 1431-nucleotide long non-coding RNA. RefSeq lists it as uncharacterized. The record is from RefSeq and is a predicted model, not a curated record. Lineage: Eukaryota; Viridiplantae; Streptophyta; Magnoliopsida; Brassicales; Brassicaceae. The transcript has 5 exons.
AUUUUCUUGAAUUUGGUACAGUUCGUCUAAGUCCAUAAGUUUCCGAAAAUUCUUCAAGAGUUUUAGUUUUGUUUAUGAACCUCUAUACAUAAGGAAAACAAGGAGCAAUCAAUCCUCCUCUACGCAUGCCAUAAUUGUUAAAAGAGCCUCUGAUACAAAUAAUCCAAGAAGGGGAAUUUAAAGGAUGAAGAUACUUAAAAGUGUUGUUGGGAUGUUAAGAAGAUUCUAGAUUCAUUAUCUUCUCCUUUUUGUGAAUUCUGUUUAAAGUUGUUGUUUCUCUCUAUGUAGAAACAAGCUUAGACGUGAAUCCUAAGAACAAAAACGCUGUAGGAUAACGCAAUGGAGUAUUCCAAGUCUCCCUUCAAAUGCUAAGAACGUAGCUAUGGAACAAGUUACAAACCAGAAGGAAAGACAAUUCAUACUGAGGUCUGUAACGAGGAGGCGAAGCUUCGACAAGAAAUUGAUCUCGAAUACCAAAACACAGCUUGUAAGAAUUUGAGAGCUAAAUCAUCUAGGACGAGUUAGCUCGCCGCAUCUAUAAAUAGAGUUUAUCAAGAACUUGGGUAUUCUUCUUUUGAGAAAGAUGAGUUAAUCAUUGACGAGAGUGACACAGAGGACAAAAUUAGUUCUGAUACAUUUCGAAAAAUUAAGAGCAAGCAAGAGACUAUUGGUCUUGGCAGGUUAGAAUCAAAUGACUACAUUGCCGCAGACACGGUAAGUAAUAUUCUUGAACCAUCUAAAAAAUGAGACAUCAUUACUGCAUAUCAUAGUCGACAAGCUUGCCACAUCAUCUGUAGUCUAAAGAAAGAAACUUGUGUGGAUCACUUUUAAAUUAGAUGAAAUUCAGUUGUCAGUUAUUAUCAAUUGGAUAGUUAUGUGUUGACUUUAGAUUCUGUUAGUUCUCAUUGACAUUUUCUCUAUUUUACAUGUUAGGCCAAGGAGGUCAUAUUCAGACCAAAAAAUGAAAAAGCAGUUAUUAGUUAGAUUGUUCAAUGCCUCAAAGAAAGAAUUGAAACAAUAAUCAAGCUUCAAGUAGGAACCAUAAUUUUGGGAACCAAAAGAAAAAGCAAAGUUCAGCCCCGAAGUAUCCCGGUACAACGAAAAACGUAAAUCAUCCUCGAAGAACGAAGCUUCUUUACAUGAGCUGAGACCAAAACAUAUAGAAGAAACCAUUUCCAUGAACUCCAACAGACAUAAGUCUUCUAUAGACAAAGAAUCAUAUGACAAGGAAAAUGCUCACGGACAAAGCAGUGAAACUGGAUUUGUGACGAUGAAGAAGGCAAGAUUCAGAGAAGCAAGAGACCAACGUUCCAUGGCGAAACCAAAUGUGGGAGUUCUGGUGGAGUGCUCGAGAAGGAAAUAGUUAAUCUUAUACUAUGGUUUUUAUGAAACAAAGUUAUAAAAGUCAUAUUGAUAUAUAAAUUCAGUUAA